AUGGAUGGAUGGAUAGAUGGAUGGUUGGUUGGAUUGGUGAGUGGGUGGGUGGAUGGAUGGAUGGAUGGAUGGAUGGAUGGAUGGAUAGAUGGAUGGAUGGAUAGGUGGGUGGGUGGAUGGUUGGCUGGCUGGCUGGCUGGAUGGACGGUUGGUUGGAUGGGUGGGUGGGUGGAUGGAUGGAUGGAUGGAUGGAUGGAUGGAUGGAUGGAUGGAUGGAUGGAUAGGUGGGUGGGUGGAUGGUUGGCUGGCUGGCUGGAUGGAUGGACGGUUGGUUGGAUGGGUGGGUGGAUGGAUGGAUGGAUGGAUGGAUGGAUAGAUGGAUGGAUAGGUGGGUGGGUGGAUGGAUGGAUGGAUGGAUGGAUAUAUGGAUGGAUAGGUGGGUGGGUGGAUGGUUGGCUGGCUGGCUGGAUGGAUGGACGGUUGGUUGGAUGGGUGGGUGGGUGGGUGGGUGGAUGGAUGGAUGGAUGGAUGGAUGGAUGGAUGGAUGGAUGGAUAGAUGGAUGGAUGGAUAGGUGGGUGGGUGGAUGGUUGGCUGGCUGGCUGGGUGGAUGGACGGUUGGUUGGAUGGGUGGGUGGGUGGAUGGAUGGAUGGGUGGGUGGAUGGAUGGAUGGGUGGGUGGAUGGAUAGACAGAUAUAGAUAUAUCUCAGCUAUUACUCGGGAGGCUGAGGGAUGACAAUCACUUGAACCCGGGAGGUGGAGGUUUCAGUGAACCAAGAUUGCACCACUGCACUCCAGCCUGGGCAACAGAGUAAGACUCCAUUUCAAAAAAAAAAAAAAAACAAAGAUAUAUCUCAGCUAAACACUUUACACAGAUUUUCUGAUUUAAUCCUAUCAGUGUGAGAAGUAUUAUCUGUUUUAUUAAUGAGAAAAACAGAUUUACAGAGUUUCGUUUGUUCAUUUUUUUUAGUGGGUGGACAGUGCCUUGCUCUGUUGCCCAGGCUGGUGUGCAGUGGUGUGAUCACGGCUCACUGCAGCCUCAAACUACUGGGCUCAAGCUUCCUCCUGUCUCAGCUUCCCAAGUACCUGGGACCAUAGGCAUAUGCCACCAUGCCUGACUUUUUUUUAUUAUUAUUAUUAUUUGUAGAGAUGGGGUCUUGCUAUGUUGCCCAGGCUGGACUCAAACUCCUGGCCUCAGGCAAUCCACCUGCCUCGUCCUCCCAAAGCAUUGGGAUUACAGGCAUAAGCCACCAUGUUCAGCCCCAAGAGAUUUUUUUUUCAACCUUACCAAGGUCACAAGCUGACAGGAGGUGGAGGUGAGGGUAACAGUGGCUUUGAGGACUCUGCAGUCACCACGAUGCACUCCCUCCAUCCCACUUGCAUCAGGCACCUAGAGCCCCACCCUACGCCAUGCCAGGUUUCCUGCUAUUUCUUAGGCUGGCCUGACACCGUCUCGAAUCCAUGUCUGUGUCCACAGCUGGCCCCAGGUUCCUCUCCCAGGGCUCCCCCCUGGUUCUUUUGAGAUCCUCCUCAUACAAGAGGCUCCAGAUAAGUGCUGCCUCAGACGCCAGGCUGGACGUUCUGCCAGAGUACAAGCUUCACGCGCCGAAUCAGGGGUUCAUGGGCUGGCUCUUGAUCCUCACCCUCAGAACCUAGUUCGGAAAGAGUAGGCAUCUGAGUGAUUCUAUUUUUUUUUUUUUUUUUUUACAGAGGGGGUCUUGCUGUGUUGCUCAGGCUGGUCUCAAACUCUUGACCUUAACUGUUCCUCCAUGGCCUCCUAAAGUGGUGAGAUGAUUGACUUUACAUCCUCAAGCUUAGCUCAGGAGCUCUGACACAGCAGGCAGCCAAGGCAUGUUGGCUGAAUAAAUGAACAAACCCAGCAAUGUUUUUACACCUCACGAAUAUUGGUGGACUGUAUCACCUUUGAGAAAUCAUUGAUUAUAUAAUAAUUGCAAAAAUUUAGGUCGCCGAUUAGAUUACAAACACAUAAUUUUGAUUGUGGUAAAAUAUAUGUAACAUAAAAUUUACCACUGUAACCAUUUUUAAAAUGUGCAAUUCAGUGACAUUAAGUAUAUUCACAUUGUUGGCAGGGCGCGGUGGCUCACGCCUGUAAUCCAGCACUUCGGUAGGCCGAGGCUGGCGGAUCUCUUGAGGCCAUGAGUUAGAGAACAGCCUGGCCAACAUGGAAAAAACCCAUCUCUACUAAAAUACAAAAAUUAGCCGGGCGUGGUGGCGGGCGCCUGUAAUCCCAGCUACUCAGGAGACUGAGGCAGGAGAAUCACUUGAACCUGGGAGGCAGGAGUUGCAGUGAGCCGAGAUCACGCCACUGUACUUCAGCCUGGGCAACAGAGAGUGACUCCAUCUCAAUAAAAAAAGAAAAGAAAAAGUAUAUUCACAUUGUUGUGCAACCAUUACCACCAUCUAUCUUCAGAUUUUUUCAUCAUCUCAAACUGAACCUUUGUCCCCAUUAAAUACUAACUCCUCACCCCUCCUCCCCAUUCCCUGACAAACAUCAUUCCAUUUUCUGUCUCCAUGAGUUUAAUUAUUCUAGGUCCUUCCUGUAAGUGAAAUUACACAAUAUUGUCCUUUUGUAUCUGGCUUAUUUCACUUACCACAGUGUCCUCAAGGUUCAUUCAUCUUAUAGCCUGUCUCAGGAAUCCUGUAACUGGUGAAAGACACUCACUGGAUCAUCAAAAAACAUCGAUGAGCUUCUGCUGUGGGCAGGGCCUGUACUUUCCAGGCCAACUAAAAAGAGGUAAAUGAUAAGAGUCUCUGCUCCAAAGUGUCAGCCAACCAGUUUCACUUUUAAAUCUUUUUUUUUUUUUUUUUUUUUUUUUUUGAGAUUUCUGGAAUCUCUUCUGCAAUUAAUAGGUUCACCUGGAGAAAUCAUCUGCAGUCUACAGGCUAGCCUGGAAAGUCAUUUUCAAAGGUGAAGAGGAAGGCCAGGAAGGCCGGGUAUGCCGGGUAUGUUGGCUGCCUCUCAUAUAGCAGCAUGGGACCCCUUAAAGUGAAAUUGGCCAGGUGCAGCGGCUCAUGCCUGUCAUCCCAGCGCUUUAGGAGGCCAAGGCAGAAGAACUACUUGAGCCCAGGAGUUCAAGACCAGUCUGGGCAACACAGUGAGAACCCAUCUCUAAAUAUACACACACACACACAUACAAAAAUUAGCCAGGCGUGGGCUGGGCUCAGUGGCUCACGCCUAUAAUCCCAGCACUUUGGGAGGCCGACGCGGGUGGAUCACCUGAGGUCAGGAGAUCGAGCCCAUCCUGGCUAACACGAUGAAACCUCAUCUCUGCUAAAAAUGCAAAAAAUUAGCCAGGCGUGGUAGUGGGCACCUGUAGUCCCAGCUACUCGGGAGGCUGAGGCAGGAGAAUGGCGUGAACUUGGGAGGCAGAGCUUGCAGUGAGCCGAGAUCGCGCCAUGGCACUCCAGCCUGAGCGAGACUCCAUCUCAAAAAAAAAAAAAAAAAAAAAAAUUAGCCAGGCAUGGUGACAUGUGCCUGUGGCCCCAGUUGCUCAGGAGACUGAGAAAGAAGAAUCUCUUGAACCUGGGAGGUAGAGGUUACAGUGAGCCGAGAUCACGCCACUGCACUCCAGCCUGGGUGACAGAAUGAGACUCCGUCUCAAAAAACAGACAAACACACACAAAAUGUCUUUCUGGGGCAUGGUGGCUGACACCUAGAAUCCCAAAACUUUGGCAGGUCAAAGUAUGAGAAUCACUUGAGGCCAGGAGUUCAACAUCAGCCUGGGCAACAUAGCAAGACUCUGUCUCUAUACAAUUUUUAAAAAACUUAACCCGACCAGGCAUGGUGACUCACACCUGUAAUCCCAACACUUUGGGAGGCUGAGAUGGGAGAAUCACUUGGGCUCAGGAGUUUGAGACCAGCCUGGCCAACAUGGUGAAACCCUGUCUCUACUAAAAACACAAAAAUUAGUCAGGCAUGGUGGCAGGCACUUAUAAUCCCAGCUGCUCGGGAGGCUGAGGCAGGAGAAUUGCUUGAACCCAGGAGGCAGAGGCUGCAGUGAGCCAAGAUCUAGCCACUGCACUCCAGCCUGGGGAACAGAGACUCUGUCUCAAAAAUAAACAAAUAAUAAUUAACCAGACCACAGGCCUGCAGUCCUAGCUACUCAGGGAGGCUGAAGAGGUAGGAUCUCUUGAGCCUAGGGGGUAAAGGCUGCAGUGAACCAUGACCCCACCACUGCAUUCACUUCUGCCUGGGUGACAGAGUGAGACUCUGCCUCCAAAAACAAAAAAAUAAUUCUGGGGGGCUCCUUCCCUGAAGAGCUUUUCUUGAGAGCUCAUGAAUUGACUCAUGGUAA
Molecule: long non-coding RNA, 4255 nt
Organism: Macaca mulatta (Rhesus monkey)
Lineage: Eukaryota; Metazoa; Chordata; Mammalia; Primates; Cercopithecidae
Source: Ensembl